AGAGUUUGAUCCUGGCUCAGAGCGAACGCUGGCGGCAGGCCUAACACAUGCAAGUCGAGCGCCCCGCAAGGGGAGCGGCAGACGGGAGAGUAACACGUGGGAACGUGCCCUUCAGUUCGGAACAACCAAGGGAAACUUGAGCUAAUACCGGAUACGUCCGAAAGGAGAAAGAUUUAUCGCCGAGGGAUCGGCCCGCGUCC
RNAcentral lists this ribosomal RNA (200 nucleotides) under uncultured bacterium. RNAcentral's name for it is "partial 16S ribosomal RNA". It matches the Rfam family "Bacterial small subunit ribosomal RNA", at positions 8 to 238 of the family's 1533-position model. The record is from RNAcentral.